CAAGGAGAACUGAUGGAGGGUUGGAAUACUGUGGUCGAUGCCCAUAGGGUCUCCGCAUGUAGUAAGGUGGGAACCUUCGCCUGCGGUAGGACCGGCGUUGUUG
This is a long non-coding RNA of Octodon degus (degu), 103 nucleotides long. RefSeq lists it as uncharacterized. The record is from RefSeq and is a predicted model, not a curated record. Lineage: Eukaryota; Metazoa; Chordata; Mammalia; Rodentia; Octodontidae. The transcript has 3 exons.